This 1182-nucleotide long non-coding RNA is filed under the name Sinocyclocheilus grahami. RNAcentral describes it as "lncRNA (ENSSGRG00000042296.1)". The record is from RNAcentral. Lineage: Eukaryota; Metazoa; Chordata; Actinopteri; Cypriniformes; Cyprinidae.
AUAUUCAUCCUCAUGCAAAAAAUAAAAAAUAAAAAAUCACUUUCCUCACCUCUGCUAGCUAGCAACCACUAGCUUAGCUGCGUAAAAAUCUGCCGUUGCGUUUAAUACAUAACCGCGUGAUAUUUAUUUGCGCUCAACUCUACAGCUUCCGGCUGAACAAUGCGAGGGAACGAGCAAAAUAAAGGCUGCAAAUCAUGUUUCAAGUGCGGACUGCACUCUUCAGAGAGAGAGCAAAAGAGAUCAACUUGAACCUACAUCACCCCCGACUACAAUAUCACCGACAUUUCGAGUUAAAAACACGCAAAGUCGCGGGUAAAUGUGUCCAACGCGCCCGCCGCGAAGGGUGAUCGUUCCCCGGGUGAGUAGCUGCGCUGACACCGCCGUUCAAUGACAAGCCACCUCUAACCCUUUUGUGUCUUUUUUUAUUUUUUUUCCUCGCUCCCUGUCUAAGCGUACAUUUCCAGGCUGCAUAACACAGCAGAAGAGGUUGAAAGACCCUCUUUCUCUCUCGCCCACCUCUAAAGAUGUUGCUCCAUACACGCCGGGGAAUGCAGAUGUCGGUAGCCGAAGAGGUGGCACUCGGAGCCGGGCAGGGGCAGGACCCUCGACCCUGGGAGACCCUCCGGCGAGCUGGCGGCGAGACGCGGGAGAAGCGGCGCAGGCAGGCGGCGAGCCUCGCUCUGACUGGCGGAGAGGGGGAGCGAGUCUAGACCGCGGCAGAGGAAGAAAGGACUGCCACUGGGGUCAGAGAGCAGCGACGAGUGCAUAGCCUCCGUACUAGCAUGGCGGAGCGAGACUCUGCGCCUGUGGGUCCAAGGGUGUGCGCUACACGUAUCACCUUUCGGAAGUCAUGGAGAACUGGAGCACUGAUCAGGGUGAGGAGUCACAGUGCCACAAUGCUGCUUCUACAAAAUGUGGAAUGUUUUGACAGGGCUUACAAAGGUCUGUUGUUCUGUAACAGCACAUCUCAUAGAGACAGCUCAAUCAUGACUGAUGUUACUCUUUCGCUAAGCUGCAACUGCCAUUCGACCAGGACACCUCAUCCCCCACACACAAUACGACAGAACGAUAGAUAGAUAGAUAGAUAGAUAGAUAGAUAGAUAGAUAGAUAGAUGUAAAAUUCUUUGAAUCUAUCUAUCUAUGAAAAAAACAAGAAAGUUAGAGUGUUGACCCUCUCCUCAC